This 75-nucleotide transfer RNA is filed under the name Elstera cyanobacteriorum. RNAcentral describes it as "tRNA-Gln". It matches the Rfam family "tRNA". From Rfam's summary of the family: Transfer RNA (tRNA) molecules are approximately 80 nucleotides in length. Their secondary structure includes four short double-helical elements and three loops (D, anti-codon, and T loops). The record is from RNAcentral. Lineage: Bacteria; Pseudomonadati; Pseudomonadota; Alphaproteobacteria; Rhodospirillales; Rhodospirillaceae.
UGGGACGUCGCCAAGCGGUAAGGCACCGGAUUUUGAUUCCGGCAUUCGGAGGUUCGAUCCCUCCCGUCCCAGCCA